CUUCCUCAUCUGAUUACUUUAUUACAGAGAUCUGAUAUUGAUUUGGUCAUCCUCAGGAGAUCCGCAAAGAUUGAGGAUGCUGACCCUUGAAGGAAGGAGUUUGACAACUUGGUCAGCUAAAUGUGUUAGUCAUAAAGUUACUCCAUACUCUGCAUUGAGAGUCUGAGACUUGGAGCUUUCAGCUGCUUUGUUUGUUGUCAAGAAUCGAGGUCCCUCAUUCUUGUAGAGUUCGACGUUCGGGAAUUCUGGUUUCUUCUUGUCCUACUCGAUUUCGAUCCUUUCGGGUGGCCCUUACCAUGCUCUCCACAGCUGAUGAACAACUGGCUUUGGCCUACAAAUCAUCUUUUGAUGUUAACGCUUCCUUUUCUGGUAGCCUAGUUCAUGAUAUUCUUUUCAUGAUACCUUAGCAGAUCGCCCACCAAAAAUCAAUAUCUUUCAGCAAGAAAAGACACCUUUGAUUAUAUGUUUACAAAUUUGACCAUUCAUUCAGAAACUUGAAAGAUUUGUUAGCCCCUGUAUUUAAUGAAACAUUAUAUGAUAUCCCGAGCU
Molecule: long non-coding RNA, 549 nt
Organism: Cucurbita pepo subsp. pepo (vegetable marrow)
Lineage: Eukaryota; Viridiplantae; Streptophyta; Magnoliopsida; Cucurbitales; Cucurbitaceae
Source: RefSeq, a predicted model, not a curated record